AUGACCUCUGGUCUUGGGUUCCUUUUAUUUGUACCACAUCAAAGUUUCCUUCAGCCUCUGCUGAAUGUCUGUGUUUCUUGUGUCGCCAGGAUUAGUGCCCAGACACGGAGCCAAUGCUCUCCCCAUGCCAGUGUUCCUGUGCUAACCUUGGCUAGACAUAGGACGGCUUACAGAAGAGGGAUGAUGCUGCUUGAGCUUCUUCCCAGCAGGCUGGGUUGGAGUUGUCAGAGACCUCCUGCUGAUCAGUCCAGGGCUGAUCUGGUUCCUUGUGGGACACCAGGGACACAGCUGCUUAAGAGACUUGCCAGAAACCUAAGUUGUGCCUCAACACUUCCCCCGAAUGACCGCAACACACAAGUUCAGGCACUGCACAAACACUGCUGUUGGUUACAAGAGCAAAGAGCCCCACAAAGAACCAGUACCUGGAGAACCAGUUGACCAAGGAAAUGGAGGCUGCUUUAAGAAGAAACCUGGUGUUUGUGGGGUACCCAAAGGAAAGCCAAGAAGAGCUGUCACUGCCCACUACAAAUCCCUGAAAGGGUAGGGAAGGCUAUUUAAGGUAAAUUCUGGCAUCAGAGAAGAAAAAAAAUUAAAACCUGUCUCCACAACAGCUCAGGUUAGAAGAGAAUAUCUCUCACCACUGAAGUGGUGUCUUGUGAAGUCCCUGAGCUCCCCAGGGCAGUGGUGGAGGCUGGAAACCCUUUGCUGAUCUACAGCCCAGAACUGCUUGUAUGCAGCAGUCGCUGAUGGGCAGGGGCUGGAGGGUUAUCCCAGCAGUGUUCCCUCCAACAAGGGAAUUGUGGAGCAGAGCAACAUCUGCUUACUGCAUUGAACAACCAGCCAUUGGGUUGGCAGUCUGCAGGGAUCCCCGGGAUAAGCUGCUGGCUAAAACCACAUCCCGGACACUGAUGAUGCCUGCAACAUCCAUCAGGCAACAAUAUCAAUUGAUCGCCUUUCACAGAGGGGAAGCAACCCAGAAGAAUUAGGCCUGCAAAUUUCAGUCUCUACCCUAAGAAGAAAUGAGUCUCAUGGGUGAAAAUAAUGUAGCACAGCCAGGGCUGGGCAGUUGGCAACCCUGGAAGCCAUGCUAGUCUCAUUAACAGGGAGGAGCAAGUGGGGACAAAGCCCAGAGGAAGCAGCUACCAGACACAUUGCAUCUGGGAAACCCUAGCGAGACAUGCAGCCCCUGGAGUUAUGGAGGGUGUGAGUAGAGAAAUGGCAGCAGGGGUACAGCAAGGACCCAGAGACCUCAAAGACCAGCCUGAAGCCCUGGCUGGGGCUGGUGGCCACCUCCAGGCCAGCAGACUCCCAAGGGAGAGGAGUUUCCUGCCCACACAUAAGAUUUUACCUCCAACUUUCUGCAGUUUAAAUCUGGUUUAUAUUGACAACUGGUAUAAAGGUCUGGUAGCCUGCUCACCCUGGCCCUAGGAUUUCUGGU
This 1438-nucleotide long non-coding RNA is filed under the name Cyanistes caeruleus (blue tit). RNAcentral's name for it is "lncRNA (ENSCCEG00000023768.1)". The record is from RNAcentral. Lineage: Eukaryota; Metazoa; Chordata; Aves; Passeriformes; Paridae.